Molecule: non-coding RNA, 117 nt
Filed under: Geodermatophilus obscurus
Lineage: Bacteria; Bacillati; Actinomycetota; Actinomycetes; Geodermatophilales; Geodermatophilaceae
Also listed under: 1 other name
Description: SAM-IV sequence
Rfam family: SAM (S-adenosyl methionine) riboswitch aptamer
About the family: SAM-IV is a mRNA element that regulates gene expression via direct sensing of S-adenosylmethionine (SAM or AdoMet).
Source: RNAcentral
GCUCACGAGAGGCAGUGACAAGCACCUGGCUGGCUGCCCGGCAACCUCUACUCCGUCUGAGGUGCUCCCAGGGGAAGAGCCGGCCGGACGGCGCCCGCCGCCCGGCAAGGACGGAGC